GACGAACGCUGGCGGCGUGCUUAACACAUGCAAGUCGAACGGAAAGGCCCUGCUUUUGUGGGGUGCUCGAGUGGCGAACAGGUGAGUAACACGUGAGUAACCUGCCCUUGACUUUGGGAUAACUUCAGGAAACUGGGGCUAAUACCGGAUAGGAGCUCCUGCUGCAUGGUGGGGGUUGGAAAGUUUCGGCGGUUGGGGAUGGACUCGCGGCUUAUCAGCUUGUUGGUGGGGUAGUGGCUUACCAAGGCUUUGACGGGUAGCCGGCCUGAGAGGGUGACCGGCCACAUUGGGACUGAGAUACGGCCCAGACUCCUACGGGAGGCAGCAGUGGGGAAGAUUGCACAAUGGGCGGAAGCCUGAUGCAGCAACGCCGCGUGCGGGAUGACGGCCUUCGGGUUGUAAACCGCUUUCGCCUGUGACGAAGCGUGAGUGACGGUAAUGGGUAAAGAAGCACCGGCUAACUACGUG
RNAcentral lists this ribosomal RNA (468 nucleotides) under uncultured bacterium. Its description in RNAcentral is "partial 16S ribosomal RNA". It matches the Rfam family "Bacterial small subunit ribosomal RNA", at positions 28 to 507 of the family's 1533-position model. The record is from RNAcentral.